UACGUAGGUGACCAGCGUUGUCCGGAUUUACUGGGCGUAAAGAGCGCGCAGGCGGUCGUUCAAGUCGAGUGUGAAAGCCCCCGGCUCAACUGGGGAGGGUCAUUCGAUACUGAUCGACUUGAAGGCAGGAGAGGGAAGUGGAAUUCCCGGUGUAGUGGUGAAAUGCGCAGAUAUCAGGAGGAACACCGGUGGCGAAGGCGGGUCUCUGGGCCGACACUGACGCUGAGGAGCGAAAGCGUGGGGAGCGAACAGG
This 253-nucleotide ribosomal RNA is filed under the name uncultured bacterium. RNAcentral describes it as "partial 16S ribosomal RNA". It matches the Rfam family "Bacterial small subunit ribosomal RNA", at positions 524 to 776 of the family's 1533-position model. The record is from RNAcentral.